RNAcentral lists this ribosomal RNA (253 nucleotides) under uncultured bacterium. Its description in RNAcentral is "partial 16S ribosomal RNA". It matches the Rfam family "Bacterial small subunit ribosomal RNA", at positions 524 to 776 of the family's 1533-position model. The record is from RNAcentral.
UACGUAGGGUGCGAGCGUUAAUCGGAAUUACUGGGCGUAAAGUGUGCGCAGGCGGCGUCGCAAGUCGAGUGUGAAAGCCCCGAGCUUAACUUGGGAAUUGCGCUCGAAACUACGAUGCUGGAGUAUGGCAGAGGAAGGUGGAAUUCCACGUGUAGCGGUGAAAUGCGUAGAGAUGUGGAGGAACACCGAUGGCGAAGGCAGCCUUCUGGGCCAAUACUGACGCUCAUGCACGAAAGCGUGGGGAGCAAACAGG